This 492-nucleotide ribosomal RNA is filed under the name uncultured bacterium. RNAcentral's name for it is "partial 16S ribosomal RNA". It matches the Rfam family "Bacterial small subunit ribosomal RNA", at positions 29 to 507 of the family's 1533-position model. The record is from RNAcentral.
AGUAAACGCUGGCGGUAGGCCUAACACAUGCAAGUCGAACGGCAGCACAGUAAGAGCUUGCUCUUACGGGUGGCGAGUGGCGGACGGGCGAGGAAUACAUCGGAAUCUACUUUUUCGUGGGGGAUAACGUAGGGAAACUUACGCUAAUACCGCAUACGACCUACGGGUGAAAGCAGGGGAUCUUCGGACCUUGCGCGAUUGAAUGAGCCGAUGUCGGAUUAGCUAGUUGGCGGGGUAAAGGCCCACCAAGGCGACGAUCCGUAGCUGGUCUGAGAGGAUGAUCAGCCACACUGGAACUGAGACACGGUCCAGACUCCUACGGGAGGCAGCAGUGGGGAAUAUUGGACAAUGGGCGCAAGCCUGAUCCAGCCAUACCGCGUGGGUGAAGAAGGCCUUCGGGUUGUAAAGCCCUUUUGUUGGGAAAGAAAAGCAGCAGGUUAAUACCCCGCUGUUCUGACGGUACCCAAAGAAUAAGCACCGGCUAACUUCGUG